CUGAGUGAGGGUUUCGGCCCGACCUCCAACCCCAUGUAUUCCGACUCUGUUGCCUCGGGGGCGACCCUGCCUUCGGGCGUUGGGGCCCCCGGUGGACACCAUAACACUGCAUCUUUGCGUCUGAGUAACACUUUGAAUUAAAUCA
Molecule: unclassified non-coding RNA, 145 nt
Filed under: uncultured Capnodiales
Lineage: Eukaryota; Fungi; Ascomycota; Dothideomycetes; Capnodiales
Description: sequence contains ITS1
Source: RNAcentral